AUGGAGCCAUACAAGUUGAUGGACCAGAAAACUCCCUUUGGUGAGCGCAAGUUGUUGGGCCAUCAAAGGCAUGUUAACCUGCCGCCAACCCCCUGGAGGGCUGAUCAAGAUCCUCUACAACAACAUGAUUCAUUUUCGAAGCCGUUGGCUUUAUUUCCUAAUGCUAGAAAGGGACAUUUAAAUAUGACCCAAUAUGAGAAUGGACUUUUCUCAAGCUCCCUUCCAGACAUUUUUGACAACAAAUUGAGACUAACACCUAAGAAUGGCCUUGUUGGCCAGCCAGCUGAAAAGGAACUCAACCAUGCAGAUGACGAGCCUUUUGAAUUAACUCAGGAAAUUGAGGCACAAGUAAUUGGCAAUCUCCUCCCUGAUGAUGACGACUUAUUGUCAGGUGUUCUUUAUAAUGUGGGUCACCCUGCCCGUGCUAAUAACAUGGAUGACAUUGAUGAUGAUAUAUUCUCUACUGGAGGUGGAAUGGAAUUGGAAGCUGAUGAAAAUAACAAAUUGCUAAAACUUAACGGUGGAGCCAACACCGGUCAGACUGGGUUCAAUGGCCUACUGUAUGGCGAAAACCCCUCGAGAACCCUUUCCAUUAGAAACAUUAAUAUCAAUGUUGAGGAUACUGAAUUGAAACUCCUAUUUGAGCAAUAUGGAGACAUCCGAACACUUUACACUGCCUACAAACAUCAUGGUUUAGUGAUGAUAUCUUACUAUGAUAUAAGAUCGGCAGAACGUGCCAUGGAAGCGCUUCAAAGCAAGCCAUUCAGGCAGUGGAAACUUGAGACACAUUACUCCAUCCCAAAGGAGAACCCUUUGGAGAAUGAUAACAACCAGGGCACGCUUGCAGUGAUUAACCUAGACCAGUCUGUAACUAAUGAUGAUCUUCGUCAUAUAUUUGGUGGCUAUGGUGAAAUCAAGGCGAUUCACGGGGCAUCACAAAACGGCCAUCACAAAUACGUUGAGUUUUUUGAUACCAGAGCAGCAGAAGCUGCACUUUAUGCUUUGAACAUGAGAGAUAUUGCAGGAAAGAAAAUCAGAUUAGAGCGCUGCUGCGCGGGCGACGGUAAACGUCUGACGCUGCUUAGGCCUCCUGAGUUGGAGCAGGAAGAGUAUGGUGCAUGCAAGCUAGGAAAUGCAAACAGUCUGCCCUCAACUUACUACGGUUCUGUCAACAUGGCUUCCAUGACUUCCGCUGGUCCUGAACAUGGGAUCUCUCGGGUUCUGCGUCCCAGAGUUCAGCCACCAAUACACCAAUUCAGGGAGGGAGCUUUCCUGGAUGUUCCCUCAAGUACUAUGCAAAGUAUAUCCUCUCCUGUUAGAAUUGCAACUGCAGUAACGCAUAACAACCGGUCGACUGUCGGUGAGAAUGGUCAUUCACUUGGAAAGAUGGGUGGACAGAUUAAUGGACACUUGAAUUAUGGAUUUCAUGGGGUCGGAGCUUUCAAUCCACAUUCCCUUCCUGACUUUCGCAACGGCCAAAGUAAUGGUAUUUCUUGCAACUUAGGCACAAUAUCACCCAUUGGAGUUAAGAGCAACUCUAGAACUGCUGAAGGAAUGGAGAGCAGACAUCUUUACAAAGUUGGUUCUGCUAACCUUGGUGGUCAUUCUUCUGGUCAUACCGAAGCACCCGGGUUUUCAAGAACUGGAAGCUGCCCCCUUCAUGGCCACCAAGUAGCGUGGAACAAUUCAAAUAACUCCCAUCAUCAUACCUCUUCUCCUAUGCUAUGGCCGAACUCAGGAUCAUUUAUCAAUAAUAUACCAUCUCGACCUCCCACACAAGCGCAUGGAAUUUCAAGAUCAUCUCGCAUGCUUGAAAAUGUCCUUCCAGUGAAUCAUCAUGUUGGAUCUGCACCAGCUGUCAAUCCAUCAAUUCUGGAUAGGAGAACUGGUUAUGCAGGGGAGCUGAUGGAAGCGCCAAGUUUCCAUCCUGGGAGUGCUGGAAGCAUGGGUUUCUCUGGUAGUCCGCAUCUGCAUCAGUUGGAGCUCACUAGCAUGUUUCCUCAGAGUGGAGGGAACCAAGCCAUGUCCCCUGCACACAUUGGUGCUCGAUCUCCUCAGCAGAGGGGGCAUAUGUUUCAUGGAAGGGGUCAUAUAGGCCCCCCUCCAUCUUCAUUUGAUUCACCAGGUGAACAUGCAAGGAGCCGAAGAAACGAGUCAUGUGCUAAUCAAUCGGAUAAUAAAAGGCAGUAUGAGCUAGACAUUGAGCGUAUAGUCUGCGGCGAGGAUUCCCGGACUACAUUAAUGAUAAAGAACAUCCCAAACAAGUACACCUCUAAGAUGCUUUUGACCGCUAUUGAUGAAAAUCACAAGGGAACUUAUGAUUUUAUCUAUCUUCCAAUUGACUUUAAGAAUAAAUGCAAUGUGGGCUACGCAUUCAUCAAUAUGAUAAGUCCUGAGCAUAUUGUUCCAUUCUAUAAGAUAUUUCAUGGGAAAAGGUGGGAGAAAUUCAAUAGCGAGAAGGUAGCAUCACUUGCAUAUGCUAGAAUCCAAGGAAAAUCAUCUCUAAUUGCGCACUUCCAAAAUUCAAGUUUGAUGAAUGAGGAUAAACGCUGCCGCCCUAUACUUUUCCACUCAGAUGGUCCAAACGCAGGGGAUCAAGAACCUUUUCCAAUGGGAACACACGUCCGUUCUAGGCCUGGGCGAUCCAGGGUUUUGAGCUGCGAAGAAAGUCACCGGGACACUCUGUCAUCUUCUGCCAACAAUUGGACUCCUUCCAACGGGGGCGGCCACGCUUCAGGCUACUCAAAGGAGGCUGACCCAACCACAGCUUGA
This 2772-nucleotide ribosomal RNA is filed under the name Triticum aestivum (bread wheat). RNAcentral describes it as "partial small subunit ribosomal RNA". Lineage: Eukaryota; Viridiplantae; Streptophyta; Magnoliopsida; Poales; Poaceae. The record is from RNAcentral.